UAGUUGUCUGCCUUGAGCCUGCCACCAUCUUCAUCUGGUAACACAAGAGGUAAGACACUGGGAAUACGAUACCAAAAGGAGUUCUCCUAUAAAAAUGGCAUCUCAUACAAUUUUGACUUUUCAGACCUCUUAACCACACAAAAUCUAGUGACUCUUCUCUUUCACAUGUUGUGAGAACUUCAGAAAGACUGCAAGGAUCACAGGUAAUAUUUAAUAAGAACUAUUACUGCAACUUAACCAAUGUGGAUAUAUCAGAGAGACCGAGUGAUAAAAUCAACACUGUUGAUCUGAAAGUCAAAAUCUCCAGGUGUCAACCCAGGCUUUUCACCGACUGUGGUUGCCUGGGUCCAGCCAGUUGGCUUUUAUGUAUCUUGAAGUACAGUGUGUUGCAGUGGAAUAGCACUGUACCUAGAGUGAGGAGAACAGGGCUCAUGUCACAGCACUACCACUUCCACCUCUGCAACACUCAAUGACCCUUCUGGGCCUUAGUUUCCUCAUCAGUCAAGUGAGGAGGCUGAAUUCUAUUUGACUACUAAGCUUCCUCCAGCUCUUAUAAUCUAGGAUCUAAGUCAGUGGUGUUCAAGGGCUCUUCCAUGGGAUCAAAAUAUUUAAAAGACUUCACCCAACUCCACAUGUUGGGACCUGUACUUUUACCGUUAUGUCAGGAAUAUACAUGAUGAUGAAAGCCUUCUAUACAUUUAAUAGUUAUUUUGGGAGUUCCCACUGUGCUGCAGUGGGUUAAUAAUUUGACUGCAGCAGCUCAGGUAUCUGUGGAGGCACGUGUCUGAUCCCCCACCCAGUGCAAUGGCUUAAAGGAUCUGGCUUUCCUGCAGCAUAGAUCACAGCUGCAACUUGGAUUCAGUACCUGGCCUGGGAACUUCCAUAUACUAUGGGUGCAGCCAUAAAAAUAAAUAAAUAAAUAAAUAAAUAAAUAAAUAAAUAAAUAAAUAAUAACAAUUAUUUUGAACACAUUUAUACUUAAUACAGUAGCUAUAUUCAUCACAAGAAGAGAAAGCAUGGUUUGGGAAUGUUGUUUGAACUCAAAGCUAUUAUCACUGUCCAAAUGGACUCAAUGACGCUGAGGAACCUUGGGGGUUUGUGACCCACAAGUUAGGAGAUGACUGAUCUCAGACAUGAGAUGGGAAGAGCAGUGUCUUUUCUGUGCUUUGUGGAUACAUUGUACCGUAGUAAUCGCUACAAGGUAGUAUGCUCUUAAUUCAAAAUUGUCAGGUAUAAAAACAAACACAGAAACAAAAAAAUAGCAUUUCUCCUUCCAAGAAAAACCUUAGCAUUAAACGUUCCAAUAUUUGAAAAUAUGUCUAAAUUUCGGGAUUAUUAAGAGAUUGUAAUAGAUACAAACUAGGUUAAUUACAGAGAUACAGUAUGUGGCAAACUCCCUAUUAUUCUAAAUUGAGAGGAAGUUUAAUCCUGAUGACUCAAGACCAAAACUUCUUCUGAAAGCCUACAAAAGGUUGAGGCUGUUGUUGUCGCCGCUGUUGGCAACCAACACAUGGCUUUCCACCUUCUUUUAACUCUGGUCACUCAUCCAGGCAAGAUAACUUAUUCUCUCUCUCUCUCUUUUGUUUUGUUUUGUUUUUGGGGGGAUUUGGGGGGUUUUUUGUUUGUUUUUUGGGUUUUUUUGUCUUUUUAGGGCCACAUCCAUGGCAUCUGGAAGUUCCCAGGAUAGGGGUCAAAUCAAAGCUGUAGCCACUGACCUAUGCCACAGUCACAGCAAUACCAGAUCUGAGCAGUGUCUGUGACCCAUACCACAGUUCAUGGCAAUGCCAGAUCCUUAACCCACUGAGUGAGGCCAGGGAUCAAACCUGAGUCCUCGUGGAUUCUAGUCAGGUUUGUUACCAUUAAGUGAUAACAAGAACUCCAAGAGGACUUAUUUUCUCAUAAUUAAUUUGUCAGUGGGGAAAUUUUUUAAAGUUAAUUUUGGCUUGAAACUUUAUAUUGGCUAUCCAUUGCAGAAGAAAUAUUUAGAGGACUGGUAUUUAAAAAAAAAAAAAGAGGAAGGGGAAGAUAUAUAUAUAUUUAGACUUACAUAUGUAUUAAGGUAUAAGAGAUAUAGAUAUAAAUAUACCUAAAAUAAUAAGAAUCAGGUAAAAACAGCCAGUAUGCUGAAAUACACCUUAAAAAGAAAAUUAUAGACCAAAAAUACACAAUCACUAUGAAAUUUUAUUAAGAAUUCAAAUGCUGUUUUUCUCCAAGAAUCUUUUGAAGUUAUCUUUUGUUUAAACUACUGACUUUCACAAAUUUUAAGAACAGAUUUUUAAAAGUCUUAGUUUUGACAUAAGACAAAAUCCUAUCCUGCAUUUUCAGUUCUCACUUUAUUUUUUGCUUUUCCUUUUAUUUACCUAAUACUCUUAUUUGUGCUUAUCAAAUGUUUUCAACUCGGACUUUUGUCUGGAAAAAAAAAGAUUCACCUAUUCGUACAUUCAAUUUUAAUAAUUUUUACUUUCAAUUAAUAAAUCCAAUUUUAAUAAUUUGAGGCAGGAGGAAAAUUGGCCUGCAUAUUUGAGUUUUUUAAAUAAGUUCAUUUAGGAGUUCCCACUGUGGUGUAAUGAAUUAAGGAUCUGAUGUUGUCACUACAGCAGCUGGGGUUGCUGCUGUGGCACAGGUUCGAUCCCUGGCC
This 2638-nucleotide long non-coding RNA is filed under the name Sus scrofa (pig). RNAcentral's name for it is "lncRNA (ENSSSCG00055000146.1)". Lineage: Eukaryota; Metazoa; Chordata; Mammalia; Artiodactyla; Suidae. The record is from RNAcentral.